RNAcentral lists this long non-coding RNA (743 nucleotides) under Vigna radiata. RNAcentral describes it as "long non-coding RNA (VRAD_LNC017101)". Lineage: Eukaryota; Viridiplantae; Streptophyta; Magnoliopsida; Fabales; Fabaceae. The record is from RNAcentral.
CAGCUAAAAGAAUUGUUUCUGCUCUCAAUGAAUGGUCUCAAACUGAUACUUUUGUUCAACACUUCUGAUACAAGAGGGUCUAGCAUCAUAGGACCUAUCACAAGAGGAAUGCCCAAAAAGCUUAAAAUUGCCAAAGCAUGAAGAAGGGUAAGAUGGUCAUUGCUACAAAAAGGGGAGGUGUUCUUAUCAAGAUAGGGGGCUGCAUUAGAAGAACUUCUCCUUCACAUUCAGAUUUUAGCAUUUCCACGUGAUUGAAUAAACCUUUCUAGAAGGCCAUCACCUUUUCCACAUGGGUGAAUACGUGUCAUUAGAUCCAUCAUUUACGGAUCACACUUUUUCUUUGCUUAGCUUCAUGAAUGCAUCUAUAAAUUCAUGAAGGCAUCAUUUGUAAAAUACUUUGGAAUCUAUGAGAAAUUUCUUCAAUCUGAAAUUCAUCUCUGCCAAGCAAAUGCUUACCAAAGUCACUCUUUCCAUCAACUAUCUCCCACCUCUUAGCUUUCUUCCAACAAUGGAGGUUGCCUGAAGCUAGGACCACCUCAUUCCUUCUCUGCCGCAACCAUCCUUCACUCAGAUUCCAUCAACUUUCCGCUGCCACCUGCUGGAACUCUGCCUUCUCGGGUUCUCACUUCAACCAAGCAAUGGAGAGACUUAUCAACUUCCAAAGCCUAUUCUCAUGAGAUCUCUUGCUCAACUUAUACACCGUUGCAACUAAUUGUAACUCACUUUCUACUAAGCACCACCUG